GCAGGAGGAUUUUUUUGUGCACAGAUGGAUGACAUCCCAGUGAGGAUAACACAAUCAGGCUCACCUGGGAGUCCAAUGUGGUUCCACAGCGCCUUCUGGGAAUAGCCUCAGCCCACGAGAGAAUUCAUCCGCUUUUUAGGUUAUGACAAUAAGAGACAAAGACAGAACUGUUAAACUGUUGAAAAUGGGUGCUUGUGAUCUUUACUCCUUGACUUCCUUGUGAUUCCAUCUUACAUCCCCCUCCUCACCCUCCCAGAUGGCUCACACUCUGUGCAUUAGUAUAAGUCCUGGUUGACAUCUGCAUACCGACACAGGAGGAAUAGGAACCCAUUGUUAAUCUGCGGCUUAAAACAACCAUCGACUGCAGAGUAAUCUGUCUGUGUCCCAAGCUGCUGCCCUGAAUCGAUACAUCACUGGAGCUACUUUGGCAAAAAGUCUUCCUGGAAACAUCUGCAUUAGCUCAUCAAAUUCAUCACUUUGCAAUGUCAUAUUGCAGAUGUGUAACAUUUACGGUGCCAUGAAAAAGAUGUCAUUCACAUCUAUCAGUUGGGAAAGGUUUCAAAGACAUUUCUGAGGCUUUAGGACUCCAGAGCUAUUAUCUACAAAUGGAGAAAACUUCAAACUGUGGUAAACCUUCCCAGGAGGGGCCACUGUCACCAAAGAAGCGCUUCAAUAACUCUUCCAAAAAGUCUCGAAAGAACCCACAUUUGCCCAAAAACAUCUUUGUGAUCCCCAAGAUUUUUGGGAAAACAUUCUUUGCACUGACGAGACAAAGGUUUGCCUUUUUGGAAGGUUUGAGUUACUGUUACAUGUGGCAUAAAACUAACACAGCAUUUCUUAAAAAGAAAAUCGUACCAAGUCAAACAUGGUGGUGGUCAAGAGUUAGUCUGGGCCUGCUUUGCUGCUUCAGGACCUGGGCGAAAAAAGAAGAAUGUCUGGCCAUCAGUUCAUGUUCUAAAACUUGAGCGUGCUGUAUAUAAUCAGGUUAUAUCUGAAACAUGCAAGUGUGACAAAAAUGAAAUAAAUAAAGAAAUCAUGAAGAGGGCAAAUACUUUUUCACUGCACUGUAAACUGGGUGAACUUAUCUAGAUUUUUUUGCUAUUCUAAAAAAGGAAAUUCCAUUGUUUAUAUAUUUCAGCUAUAUAAAGGGGGCAAUUGUGGCUCAAGAGUUGGGAGUUCGCCUUGUAAUCGGAAGGUUGCCGGUUCGAGCCCCGGCUUGGACAGUCUCGGUUGUAGUGUCCUUGGGUAAGACACUUCACCCAUUGCCUACUGGUGGUGGUCAGAGGGCCUGGUGGCUCUAACAGGGACCGCAGAUUUAAAAGUAAACAUUGCCAUUUUAUGUAAGACGCAAAACUAGCAACUGAAACCGUGAAGUUAGGAAAGAGGCUCACAGAUUAAAGGAUCUGAAGGACUGUUUUACCCCUAAAAUUGUAUUCAGUCUUUUUUUUUUUUUUUUUUUGUAAGCACAGGAGUCGCCCUCUGUUGGCCAAAGACUGCAUGCUUUGAAGAACUUUGGCUUCAUUUUUGAGAUUUGGAAGUGAUGUCCAUGUUUUACAUGCUUUGUGAUUGUCCAAAUCAAGGACUUUAUAUCAGGGGCGGAGCGUGGGGGUGGCUUACUGGGCUUAAGCCCGGGGUCUUUUGGAGUGUAAUUUUUUCAUAGUUAGAUGCCUGGCUGACAACUGUAUAAAACAAAAAGUAAACAAAAUAUUCGAAGCACGUAGUGCACACUGUGGGAAUUUACGACUGUGCGUGAAUCCCCCCUGAUAUUGGUAUGAUCCGAGCUCAGGCACUAAGCGACUGAGCGAGGGGGCGGGGCAGCUGCUGCCUGUGAGUGCGCUGUUGGAGAAACGGAGCCAGCCAUACUAAGGAGAGCUUAAGUUUGACCAGGUACCAAAGCAAAUCAUUCGUACCGUACAAAUAAUGUAAAUAUGACGGUGCAUCACGAAAGAUUGAUAUCAAACUGAUCACUUGACCAAUAUUACGUUACUUGCUCUUCAAGUGAAUCAACAAAUGGCGAAAUGAAAAGCGAACAAAUGCUAUUUUUUUAGAGAGUCUUAGCUUACCUGUGUUUAUUUCAUAUUUUCAGUUCUUACCCUCCCCGACUAAAUCAGUUUCAGUUAUGUACUGAAAUAUAAGAAUGGACAUUAGAGGCUUCUUUCAAAGAAAAAACUC
Long non-coding RNA from Astatotilapia calliptera (eastern happy), 2172 nucleotides. The record is from Ensembl. Lineage: Eukaryota; Metazoa; Chordata; Actinopteri; Cichliformes; Cichlidae.